RNAcentral lists this long non-coding RNA (543 nucleotides) under Androctonus crassicauda. Lineage: Eukaryota; Metazoa; Arthropoda; Arachnida; Scorpiones; Buthidae. The record is from RNAcentral.
AUUUUAGUUUAGUUUAAUUUAUUUAAUUAUUAUGUAUUUUUAUGGUUUAAUUAUAGCAUUACUGUCAUAUUGUAAAAUGCAUGCAACACAUUUGCUUUUUAAAUCUGUAUUUGUUUUUAUUCUUUGCAUUCUCAGAAUUUAUAAUUCUGUUCUAUCCUCUCAUUUUAUCUUGUACUGCUAAAGAUGACUUCAUGGUUUUAGGAUGCUUGUUGCAUAAUUGAAUGAAGCAUGGCAAAGGAAACAGAUGAGAAUAAAUGCAGGAAUACUAAAGUACUUGUACCUUCUUCACCCCAUCAAAUACAUAUGAGUAUUGAACUGAAUGGGGUGAAUUUGAAAUCUGUGAUGGAGUUUGUAUACUUAGGAAGUAUAUUUGAGAGAGGUUACAUUGAUGAUGAUGAUGAUGAUGAUGAUGAUGAUGAUAUGAGAAGAGUACAGUAUUAAAAAUUUUUGGUGGACUUAAAAGGUAUGUGAGAAAUGAAAAUCUGUUAAAGAAUGCUAGGAUGGCUGUAUAUCAGUAUGUGCUAGUUUCAGCAUUGAUGUAUG